Long non-coding RNA from Hevea brasiliensis (rubber tree), 356 nucleotides. RefSeq lists it as uncharacterized. The transcript is spliced from 3 exons. Lineage: Eukaryota; Viridiplantae; Streptophyta; Magnoliopsida; Malpighiales; Euphorbiaceae. The record is from RefSeq and is a predicted model, not a curated record.
CCUUGCUUCUUAAAGUUUCGAUCACUCCUAGACGCGACGCCCUCAGUUGAACGAGUGUCUUGCUGUCAAGCUAGCUGUUGCAUUCCUUCACGAAGCUCAUCAUUCAAAUUUUGUGUAUGUUUGGGGGUGUGGCGAUUGGAGAAUAGUGUUGUGGUGAAAAACCUUGUAGGUGAUUCCAUAGGUAUUGCAUUCCAGGCUACAAAAAUUAGGAUCUGUAGAGAAGCAUAAGUACAAUUAUAGCGGUGGAAUAAUUACGUUUGAUGAAUUGCAUAAAGACCUUGCAAUUGGUUUGGCAUCCUCUGCAAUAAGGCAGGAAGUGUCACCAAUAUAAGCCUUAAAGAUUCUGGUCUGAAAGG